RNAcentral lists this ribosomal RNA (338 nucleotides) under uncultured bacterium. RNAcentral's name for it is "bacterial SSU rRNA". It matches the Rfam family "Bacterial small subunit ribosomal RNA", at positions 8 to 334 of the family's 1533-position model. The record is from RNAcentral.
AGGGUUUGAUUCUGGCUCAGGACGAACGCUGGCGGCGUGCCUAAUACAUGCAAGUCGAACGAGAGCGACCGGUGCUUGCACUGGUCAAUCUAGUGGCGAACGGGUGAGUAACACGUGGGUAACCUGCCCAUCAGAGGGGGAUAACAUUCGGAAACGGAUGCUAAAACCGCAUAGGUCUUCGAACCGCAUGGUUUGAAGAGGAAAAGAGGCGCAAGCUUCUGCUGAUGGAUGGACCCGCGGUGCAUUAGCUAGUUGGUGAGGUAACGGCUCACCAAGGCCGUGAUGCAUAGCCGACCUGAGAGGGUGAUCGGCCACAUUGGGACUGAGACACGGCCCAA